RNAcentral lists this ribosomal RNA (527 nucleotides) under Phomopsis sp. HNY29-2B. Its description in RNAcentral is "eukaryotic LSU rRNA". The stretch from base 162 to 315 matches the Rfam family "5.8S ribosomal RNA". The record is from RNAcentral. Lineage: Eukaryota; Fungi; Ascomycota; Sordariomycetes; Diaporthales; Diaporthaceae.
CGCACCCAGAAACCCUUUGUGAACUUAUACCUAUCUGUUGCCUCGGCGCAGGCCGGCCUUUUGUGACAAAGGCCCCCUGGAAACAGGGAGCAGCCCGCCGGCGGCCAACUAAACUCUUGUUUCUUUAGUGAAUCUCUGAGUAAAAAACAUAAAUGAAUCAAAACUUUCAACAACGGAUCUCUUGGUUCUGGCAUCGAUGAAGAACGCAGCGAAAUGCGAUAAGUAAUGUGAAUUGCAGAAUUCAGUGAAUCAUCGAAUCUUUGAACGCACAUUGCGCCCUCUGGUAUUCCGGAGGGCAUGCCUGUUCGAGCGUCAUUUCAACCCUCAAGCCUGGCUUGGUGAUGGGGCACUGCCUUCUAGCGAGGGCAGGCCCUGAAAUCUAGUGGCGAGCUCGCUAGGACCCCGAGCGUAGUAGUUAUAUCUCGUUCUGGAAGGCCCUGGCGGUGCCCUGCCGUUAAACCCCCAACUUCUGAAAAUUUGACCUCGGAUCAGGUAGGAAUACCCGCUGAACUUAAGCAUAUCAAUAA